UCUCCGUUGGUGAACCAGCGGAGGGAUCAUUACGAAAAGGAGUAUUCGUACUCUUGAACCCUUUGUGAACUUACCUUAUUGUCAGUUGCUUCGUCGUGAGGCCCCUGGGAGGGGCCCCGGGGCCCGGCCUGAGCCGGGCUCCCGCCGGAGGAGCGCAAACCAAAACUCUUGCUGUACCUCAGUGGAACAUCCGAGUUAAAACAAAAAACAAGUUAAAACUUUCAACAACGGAUCUCUUGGUUCUGGCAUCGAUGAAGAACGCAGC
This 265-nucleotide unclassified non-coding RNA is filed under the name uncultured fungus. Its description in RNAcentral is "sequence contains ITS1, 5.8S rRNA gene". The stretch from base 217 to 265 matches the Rfam family "5.8S ribosomal RNA", at positions 1 to 49 of the family's 154-position model. Lineage: Eukaryota; Fungi. The record is from RNAcentral.